GCAAGCAACAGGAGCACGGGUCAUCUUUUCCCCGGGGGCGUCGGAAUGGACCUGUGCCACCCAGAGCCCGCGGAGCUGAGCAGCGGGGAGACGGAAGAGUUACAGAGGAUCAAGUGGCACCGGAAGCAGCUCCUGGAGGACAUCCAGAAGCUGAAGGAUGAGAUCGCAGACGUGUUUGCCCAAAUCGACUGCUUCGAGAGUGCAGAGGAGAGCCGGAUGGCCCAGAAGGAGAAGGAGCUGUGUAUUGGGCGCAAGAAGUUCAACAUGGACCCCGCCAAGGGUAUCCAGUAUUUCAUUGAGCACAAGCUGCUGACCCCUGACAUCCAGGACAUUGCACGGUUCCUGUAUAAAGGCGAGGGCCUCAACAAGACAGCCAUUGGUACCUACCUGGGGGAGAGGGACCCCGUCAACCUGCAGGUCCUCCAGGCCUUCGUGGACUGCCACGAGUUCGCCAACCUCAACCUCGUCCAGGCCCUCAGGCAGUUCCUGUGGAGCUUCCGGCUGCCCGGCGAGGCCCAGAAGAUAGACCGGAUGAUGGAGGCCUUUGCCACCCGAUACUGCCUCUGCAACCCGGGCGUCUUCCAGUCCACAGACACCUGCUACGUGCUGUCCUUCUCCAUCAUCAUGCUCAACACCAGCCUCCACAAUCCCAACGUCCGGGACAGGCCGCCUUUCGAGCGCUUUGUGUCCAUGAACCGCGGCAUCAACAACGGUAGCGACCUGCCCGAGGACCAGCUGCGGGUUACAUGGGAGUGCUCCCAGAGGAGAAGCUGGGAAAGGACAUUUCCGAAAGAAGAAAUGGCCAGAACGGAGGCGUGUCCUGGUUGGGAAAGGAGAGGUGUCCAGUGUGGCCGAGAACCUUUUCGACAGCAUCAAGAGUGAGCCGUUCUCCAUCCCUGAGGACGACGGUAAUGACCUCACUCACACCUUCUUCAACCCAGACCGGGAGGGCUGGCUGCUCAAGCUGGGGGGCCGCGUGAAGACGUGGAAACGGCGCUGGUUCAUCCUGACUGACAACUGCCUCUACUACUUCGAGUUCACCACUGACAAGGAGCCACGGGGAAUCAUACCUCUUGAGAACCUCUCGGUGCAGAAGGUGGACGACCCCAAGAAGCCAGUAGGUGUUCAGGUUGCGGGGCCCCGAGGCUGGAGCCACUGGGAAAUUUCCUAAACAGAAUGUGGGGAGAGGGCCUGAGGCUGGGCUCUCCAGGAAGCCAGGCUGUACCCCUCAACCUUCUCCGUGGCUCAGGGCUGCCUUCUCUCCCUCCUGGGGCCAUGGACAGUGGGAAAAGGUCAAUGGCGGUCCAAGGACGUGGUUGUCCCCUGUUGUCCCACACAGCCGGACUGGCUGGAUGGCCCUGAGUAAGCUCCGCUCCGUUCAGAACCUCAGUGAGCCCACAUGUCACGUGGGGACUUUAGGGAGGAUGGUGGAUUCAGGAGCCUGGCACAGAGAGAGUGCUCAGUGUGGGAGCAGCAGCUCCUGCCCCUUCGCCUGUCAUAGGGCUGUCACACUGAUCAGGGACACUAGCAUCUGGGCCUCUCUGAGCCUCCUGGAGGGCCCACCCAGCCUCCCUCUCUUCCCACCCUUGCCUGGCCACCUCCCCACAGUUCUGCCUGGAGCUCUACAACCCCAGCUGCCGAGGCCAGAAAAUCAAGGCCUGCAAGACUGAUGGCGACGGCAGGGUGGUGGAGGGCAAGCACGAGUCGUACCGGAUCUCAGCCACCAGUGCUGAGGAACGUGACCAGUGGAUCAAGGCCAUCCGAGCCAGCAUCACCCGUGUCCCCUUCUACGACCUGGUCUCUACUCGGAAGAAGAAGAUUGCCAGCAAGCAGUGAGAUUCCUGGAGGUGGCACUGGAGGUGGCACUGGGGGCUGGUCACCCUGAGAGUCCCAUCGCCUGCAGUGCCUGGAGACCCACCUCCCACCCUAGUGUACUCUUUUGGGCCACAGACAUCAUUGCUCUUCCCUGUUACCUCGAGCUGACUCUAGAGGGGAAGGCAGAGCUCAGGAGAGUGGGUGGGAGCUGCAGUGGGCUCAGAGUCCAGCAAUGAGGCCCGCUGGCCUGGGCGCCCAGCUGCAGGCCCCCGCCCUACGUGCACUACAGGAAGGGGUGAGGAGAGCAGUCAGAGGAAAACCAGCCCCAGAAUGCCGCAUCUUCUCUUCUCUCUGGACUUCGGUGUCCUCGGCUCUGAAGGUGCUCUCUGCACUCAGAUGCUGUCAGCCCUCAACGUAGGAGGGGCCCUGGGGUCCCUAAGUGCUUCUUCUCCCUGGCAAGGCUGUUCCUUUUCAGGGAUAUCUCUGCCAGUCCCUCCCCUGUCCUCAGGUUGGGCUUGGCCCUCUCUGCCUGACAGAGCUCAGCACACACACAGCUCAGACCCACAGACAGGACCCCGGGACAGAACCCCGUGAGCACUGCCCUAGGAGCCUGGACCCCACGAGGUCAGUCUCAGCUCCGCCUCUGACUCGCUGUGUGCCCUCUGCCAAGUCAUGCCCAUUCUCUAGUUCUUGCAAAACUGCAGGGUUUGGACUAGAAACGUCUUGUCUUGGCCCCUGCUAGCCCUGUGCUCCAGCUUCCAGCUGGAGAUGGCAGCCCUUGUUUAUGGAGCCCAGACAGACUCCGGAUUCAACGUUGCUGGGGAGAGAACAGCAGUAUAGACCCCACCUUCCAGGAUGUCCAUUUCGGUGAGAGGAGCAGGUGGGACCCUCAAGAAAAUGAUGGAGAACAUCCCAGACAGAUGGGACUCAAGCAGGAUGGGUGCUAUAUCCAAGAAGCCAAGAAGAGUUUUGUGCACUGUGGUUACCAGGAGGGCUGCCUGGAGGCAGUGGCUGAGCCAGAAAGUAACACAGAGCUCAUGCUUGGAGAGGCAGAGUCUUGGCCAUGGCUUUCCUGCGAGACCACUGACGAGCAGUCCCAUGGUGAUAAAGGGCAGCCCGGCGGGUCCCAGCAUCUCGAGACCCUCUGCAGCAGUAUCAUCAGAGUAGAGCUGACUUCCAAUACCCAGGCAGCCAGCUCUGUCUCCAGGGAGGCCUGGCCUGGAGGAGGGGUCCACUAACAGGAAACACUUCUCACCCCCUCACACAGGCCCAGGGGAGCCCCUGGAGGGAAAUUCCUUGGCAGGGGAACAGGAAAUGUGGUCGCCUCUGCCCCACUGCCAGCCUGAGUGGGCAAGGAAGCAGGUGGAUUCCCCAGAAGGAACCGCAGCUCGCAAGGCGCCUCUCCUUGUCCCCACCCACCCCCACAUUUGCACACCUUCCACAGGGUCAGGAUGGAGUAGCUGCCUUGUGAGGUGGUGAGACUCCUGUCUCUGGAGGUCUGCAAGCACCUGGUAGUGAUUUGCACCAGACAAGGUCUGGGUUGGGGGUCUGCAGGAGGAGACCUUGUGGGACAUUUGAGGACAUCCACAGAUUCUUGUCAGCCUGUGAACUAAGCCCUGCCUCUGUCACCUCAUUGGUCCAUGAAGGAGCAGCCAGGGGUGGUGGAAGGAGCACUGGGCUAGGGGUCAGGGGUCAGAGAUUCUGUCCUGCUCCUGGGAUACACCAGCUACUCCCUUAGUCUACUCCCUUCCCCUCUCUGGUCCUCAGCUUCCUCCAUCAUGGAGGGGAUGGGAUCAUGGAUUUUCUGGGCAUAAAUGGCUGUUCUGGGAGUCACUCCAAAGAGAGAAUAAAACUCUUGAUCCAA
This 3679-nucleotide small RNA is filed under the name Pongo abelii (Sumatran orangutan). RNAcentral describes it as "retained intron". The record is from RNAcentral. Lineage: Eukaryota; Metazoa; Chordata; Mammalia; Primates; Hominidae.